UACAGAGGGUGCGAACGUUGCUCGGAAUUACUGGGCGUAAAGCGCGUGUAGGCGGAUGGGUAAGUCAGAUGUGAAAUCCCCGAGCUCAACUCGGGAACUGCAUUUGAAACUGCUCGUCUUGAGUACCGGAGAGGGUGGCGGAAUUCCUGGUGUAGAGGUGAAAUUCGUAGAUAUCAGGAGGAACACCGGUGGCGAAGGCGGCCACCUGGACGGUAACUGACGCUGAGACGCGAAAGCGUGGGGAGCAAACAGG
Molecule: ribosomal RNA, 253 nt
Filed under: uncultured bacterium
Lineage: Bacteria
Description: partial 16S ribosomal RNA
Rfam family: Bacterial small subunit ribosomal RNA
Source: RNAcentral